GUGUUUGUAGCUUGGCUGUCUGGUCAUUUCAUUCCUGUGACAACCAAAGAGCAAGAUGAAGAGGCGCUUCUCUGUGGAAGAGGCUCGGGAUGAAAUCAUGCGGCCUGCGGAGGUGGGCGGCUGGAGGUCCGAGACUUCCAGCGAGGAGAGAGGGAGAAACAAACAGCCAAUAGCUGUGUCCCAAUUCAGGGUCUGCAUCCUUCGGAGGACCCGGCCUACGCAGGGACGAAGGACGUGUCACCCGUUGUUAAAUGGGACAGUCUAGCCUACGGAGGAUUUCCCGGUUGCGUCACGACGUCAUGACUCCUGCCGCCCAAACCCGGGAAAGACACAAAAACAAAACAGACAACAGAUGACACGGAAACAUAACGGACAGACGACAUAACAGACGACACAAAAACAUAACAGACGACAAUGAUGGAGCCAGAGGUUGUGAUUUUGGUUUUUUUUAAUAUAUUUUUUGUUGGAGAAAGAGGAGAGGCGGCUCUGGCGACACCAGUUUAUCUCUGGCUGGGAGAGAGCCGUGGGGAGUGACAUGGCAGCUGUCGAUUGCGUCAGCCCUGCAAACCCCGUUGAUGGACGAUGUGGUGGACAGUGGAGACAUGCAUUCCCCACCCCCCACAUGAUGUCCCACUCACAGCCAGAAGACUCCAGGGUCUUUAUUGUGGCAUCCCAUCCAG
Epinephelus fuscoguttatus (brown-marbled grouper) is the source of this 680-nucleotide long non-coding RNA. RefSeq lists it as uncharacterized. The transcript is spliced from 3 exons. The record is from RefSeq and is a predicted model, not a curated record. NCBI's taxonomy places the organism in Eukaryota, Metazoa, Chordata, Actinopteri, Perciformes, Serranidae.